Molecule: ribosomal RNA, 442 nt
Filed under: uncultured bacterium
Lineage: Bacteria
Description: partial 16S ribosomal RNA
Rfam family: Bacterial small subunit ribosomal RNA
Source: RNAcentral
CCUACGGGAGGCUGCAGUGGGGAAUAUUGGGCAAUGGAGGCAACUCUUACCCAGCAAUGCCGCGUGAAUGAAGAAGGUCUUCGGAUUGUAAAGUUCUUUAAUUGGGGACGAAAAACAUGACGGUACCCAAGGAAUAAGCCCCGGCUAACUCCGUGCCAGCAGCCGCGGUAAUACGGAGGAUGCGAGCGUUAUCCGGAUUUAUUGGGUUUAAAGGGUGCGCAGGCGGAUUUUUAAGUCAGCGGUCAAAUCGUGGGGCUCAACCCCAUCCAGCCGUUGAAACUGGGGAUCUAGAGUGUGCGAGAGGUAUGCGGAAUGCGUGGUGUAGCGGUGAAAUGCAUAGAUAUCACGCAGAACCCCGAUUGCGAAGGCAGCAUACCGGUGCACAACUGACGCUCAGGCACGAAAGCGUGGGUAUCGAACAGGAUUAGAUACCCCUGUAGUC